Felis catus (domestic cat) is the source of this 85-nucleotide transfer RNA. It matches the Rfam family "tRNA". Rfam says of the family: Transfer RNA (tRNA) molecules are approximately 80 nucleotides in length. Lineage: Eukaryota; Metazoa; Chordata; Mammalia; Carnivora; Felidae. The record is from Rfam.
GCCUGGGUGGCUCAGUCAGUUGAGCAUCUGACUUCGGCUCAGGUCAUGAUCUCACGGUCUGUGGGUUCGAGCCCCGCGUCUGGCU